Molecule: ribosomal RNA, 695 nt
Filed under: uncultured fungus
Lineage: Eukaryota; Fungi
Description: eukaryotic LSU rRNA
Rfam family: 5.8S ribosomal RNA (bases 232-385)
Source: RNAcentral
CCCAGAGCCGGAAGUUCGUCAAACUUGGUCAUUUAGAGGAAGUAAAAGUCGUAACAAGGUUUCCGUAGGUGAACCUGCGGAAGGAUCAUUACAGAAAGUAAACGCGGAUCAAACCGCGAACUUCUAAACCUUUGACGAUUGACUCAUGUUGCCUCGGCGGGUUCUCCCGCCAGAGGAUACAUCAAAACUCCUGUUUUAACGGUGUUGUCUGAGCUACAAGCAACCAAUCAAAACUUUCAACAACGGAUCUCUUGGUUCUGGCAUCGAUGAAGAACGCAGCGAAAUGCGAUAAGUAGUGUGAAUUGCAGAAUUCAGUGAAUCAUCGAAUCUUUGAACGCACAUUGCGCCCCUUGGUAUCCCGAGGGGCAUGCCUGUUCGAGCGUCAUUUCACCACUCAAGCCUGGCUUGGUGUUGGGCGACGUCCCCUUUAGGGACGCGCCUCGAAACGCUCGGCGGCGUGGCACCGGCUUUAAGCGUAGCAGAAUCUUUCGCUUUGAAAGUCGGGGCCCCGUCUGCCGGAAGACCUACUCGCAAGGUUGACCUCGGAUCAGGCAGGGAUACCCGCUGAACUUAAGCAUAUCAAUAAGCGGAGGAAAAGAAACCAACAGGGAUUGCCUCAGUAACGGCGAGUGAAGCGGCAACAGCUCAAAUUUGAAAUCUGGCUCUUUUAGGGUCCGAGUUGUAAUUUGUAGAGG